RNAcentral lists this ribosomal RNA (497 nucleotides) under uncultured bacterium. Its description in RNAcentral is "partial 16S ribosomal RNA". It matches the Rfam family "Bacterial small subunit ribosomal RNA", at positions 28 to 507 of the family's 1533-position model. The record is from RNAcentral.
GAUGAACGCUGGCGGCGUGCCUAAUACAUGCAAGUCGAGCGAACAGACGAGGAGCUUGCUCCUCUGACAUUAGCGGCGGACGGGUGAGUAACACGUGGAUAACCUACCUAUAAGACUGGGAUAACUUCGGGAAACCGGAGCUAAUACCGGAUAAUAUAUUGAACCGCAUGGUUCAAUAGUGAAAGACGGUUUUGCUGUCACUUAUAGAUGGAUCCGCGCCGCAUUAGCUAGUUGGUAAGGUAACGGCUUACCAAGGCAACGAUGCGUAGCCGACCUGAGAGGGUGAUCGGCCACACUGGAACUGAGACACGGUCCAGACUCCUACGGGAGGCAGCAGUAGGGAAUCUUCCGCAAAGGGCGAAAGCCUGACGGAGCAACGCCGCGUGAGUGAUGAAGGUCUUCGGAUCGUAAAACUCUGUUAUUAGGGAAGAACAAAUGUGUAAGUAACUAUGCACGUCUUGACGGUACCUAAUCAGAAAGCCACGGCUAACUACGUG